GUCUGCAUGGAGCCGACCUUGAAAUACCACCCUUUAAUGUUUGAUGUUCUAACGUGGACCCGUAAUCCGGGUUGCGGACAGUGUCUGGUGGGUAGUUUGACUGGGGCGGUCUCCUCCUAAAGAGUAACGGAGGAGCACGAAGGUUGGCUAAUCCUGGUCGGACAUCAGGAGGUUAGUGCAAUGGCAUAAGCCAGCUUGACUGCGAGCGUGACGGCGCGAGCAGGUGCGAAAGCAGGUCAUAGUGAUCCGGUGGUUCUGAAUGGAAGGGCCAUCGCUCAACGGAUAAAAGGUACUCCGGGGAUAACAGGCUGAUACCGCCCAAGAGUUCAUAUCGACGGCGGUGUUUGGCACCUCGAUGUCGGCUCAUCACAUCCUGGGGCUGAAGUAGGUCCCAAGGGUAUGGCUGUUCGCCAUUUAAAGUGGUACGCGAGCUGGGUUUAGAACGUCGUGAGACAGUUCGGUCCCUAUCUGCCGUGGGCGCUGGAGAACUGAGGGGGGCUGCUCCUAGUACGAGAGGACCGGAGUGGACGCAUCACUGGUGUUCGGGUUGUCAUGCCAAUGGCACUGCCCGGUAGCUAAAUGCGGAAGAGAUAAGUGCUGAAAGCAUCUAAGCACGAAACUUGCCCCGAGAUGAGUUCUCCCUGAGACUUAGAGUCUCCUGAAGGAACGUUGAAGACGACGACGUUGAUAGGCCGGGUGUGUAAGCGCAGCGAUGCGUUGAGCUAACCGGUACUAAUGAACCGUGAGGCUUAACCUUACAACGCCGAAG
RNAcentral lists this ribosomal RNA (769 nucleotides) under Salmonella enterica subsp. enterica serovar Infantis. RNAcentral describes it as "partial 23S ribosomal RNA". It matches the Rfam family "Bacterial large subunit ribosomal RNA", at positions 2174 to 2925 of the family's 2925-position model. RNAcentral also lists the same sequence under 3 other names. The record is from RNAcentral. Lineage: Bacteria; Pseudomonadati; Pseudomonadota; Gammaproteobacteria; Enterobacterales; Enterobacteriaceae.